Molecule: ribosomal RNA, 253 nt
Filed under: uncultured bacterium
Lineage: Bacteria
Description: partial 16S ribosomal RNA
Rfam family: Bacterial small subunit ribosomal RNA
Source: RNAcentral
UACGUAGGGGGCGAGCGUUGUCCGGAGUUACUGGGCGUAAAGCGCACGCAGGCGGUCUGCUAAGUUUGGAGUGACAGUUGGAGGCUUAACUGCCAAAGUGCUUCGAAAACUGACAGACUUGAGGGCUUCAGAGGGACACGGAAUUCCGGGUGGAGUGGUGAAAUGCGUAGAGAUCCGGAGGAACACCAAAGGCGAAGGCAGUGUCCUGGGGAGUGCCUGACGCUCAGGUGCGAAAGCCAGGGGAGCGAACGGG